CCAAUAGCGUAUAUUAAAGUUGUUGUGGUUAAAAAGCUCGUAGUUGAACCUUGGGCCUGGCUGGCCGGUCCGCCUCACCGCGUGUACUGGUCCGGCCGGGCCUUUCCCUCUGUGGAACCCCAUGCCCUUCACUGGGUGUGGCGGGGAAACAGGACUUUUACUUUGAAAAAAUUAGAGUGCUCCAGGCAGGCCUAUGCUCGAAUACAUUAGCAUGGAAUAAUGAAAUAGGACGUGUGGUUCUAUUUUGUUGGUUUCUAGGACCGCCGUAAUGAUUAAUAGGGACAGUCGGGGGCAUCAGUAUUCAAUCGUCAGAGGUGAAAUUCUUGGAUCGAUUGAAGACUAACUACUGCGAAAGCAUUUGUCAAGGAUGUUUGCAUUAAUCAGGAACGAAAGUUAGGGGAUCGAAGACGAUCAGAUACCGUCGUAGUCUUAACCAUAAACUAUGCCGACUAGGGAUCGGACGAUGUUAUUUUUUGACUCGUUCGGCACCUUACG
Molecule: unclassified non-coding RNA, 495 nt
Filed under: uncultured Glomeromycotina
Lineage: Eukaryota; Fungi; Glomeromycota
Description: SSU rRNA
Rfam family: Eukaryotic small subunit ribosomal RNA
Source: RNAcentral